RNAcentral lists this ribosomal RNA (796 nucleotides) under Plagiogramma sp. IAL-2014c. RNAcentral's name for it is "eukaryotic LSU rRNA". The stretch from base 334 to 488 matches the Rfam family "5.8S ribosomal RNA". The record is from RNAcentral. Lineage: Eukaryota; Bacillariophyta; Plagiogrammaphyceae; Plagiogrammales; Plagiogrammaceae.
GACAUUACCACACCGAUCCAUGAUCUCUACCCCUGUGAAGGUUGUCGCGUGAAUAGGCUUAGCUAGGCUAUGGCUUUUGGCUGUUCAGCUACUAAUCGAGGUUAGCCUAGCCUAUUAACCGAUUGACUAUUAUCGAGUAAAGCUACUCGGUGUUACUUACCCUAUUACCGUACACAAACGAAGAAGACCCUAGUUAAGCGUCCUUAUGGCUGGACGUGGGGUUUUAUUUUUUGCUACUGUACAAGAAAGAGACUAAAGGAACGUGAAACAAAAGAGGAAGGGCUAAGCGCGAAAGCGGCUUGGCUCACCCCUAACUAAGAAAUGUUGUCGUACAACUUUCAGCAACGGAUGUCUAGGUUCCCACAACGAUGAAGAACGCAGCGAAAUGCGAUACGUAAUGCGAAUUGCAAAACCUCGUGAAUCAUCAAAAUUUUGAACGCACAUUGCGCUUCCGGGAUAUGCCCGGUAGCAUGCUUAUCUGAGUGUCCGCGAACACCACUCAGCCCCCGUGUGCUGGACUAUGGCUCUGCACCUGGAAAAGUAGGUGCUGGGCUGAAACGCGAGACGACUUGUGGCACGAUACACCGUGUUAGGGUUUGCGCUUAGCGAAUGACUAGCGAUCGUCUCUGGUAGAAGCACCUUAGUGCAUUCCGAAGGAGCAACGAGCAAGUAAGUAGUCAAGACGUGAAUCGUAAUUCGAUGUAACCCACUAGGCGUAGCCAUUUAAAUGUUUUAAAUUGGCUAAGCUCAGUGUAUUCGUUUCGGAUCUCAGAUUAAGUAAGAAUACCCGCUGAUU